UACGUAGGGUGCAAGCGUUGUCCGGAAUUAUUGGGCGUAAAGAGCUUGUAGGUGGUUCUGUAUGUCUACCGUGAAAGCGUACGGCUCAACCGUAUUUUGUCGGUAGAAACUGCAGGACUUGAGGCUGGGAGGGGCUGGUGGAAUUCCCUGUGUAGCGGUGAAAUGCGUAGAGAUGGGGGAGAACACUCGUGGCGAAGGCGGCCAGCUAGACCAGUUCUGACACUGAGGCGCGACAGCGUGGGGAGCAAACAGG
Molecule: ribosomal RNA, 253 nt
Filed under: uncultured bacterium
Lineage: Bacteria
Description: partial 16S ribosomal RNA
Rfam family: Bacterial small subunit ribosomal RNA
Source: RNAcentral